AUUUUUUUCUCUUAGUUCCCUGCUCGUGAGAACGGAUUAGUAAAAAAAAUAAGGAUAUUUCAACGAUAUCUUCAUUAUGGACAACACAUAUUUUCAUCUAAAAUUUUCAAGAAUGUGUAAUAAUAUUGUUCUUGAACGAGAACACGUCGUUCAAGAUGAUUCUCCGGCCUUCGUCUCACUCGCAGAUUUACGUUCAGAGUUAAUACCAUCAGAAAAACUUCUGAAAACACGAUAUGUGAAGGUGAAAGAAGAAGAAUAUAAAGAUGGAGCUAGGGUUUACUGGAAGUUGGUACAAGGUACAGAUGACGAUCGUGAUUUAAGCCCAGAAAUUCCAUUAUCAGCCAUCUUUGAGUUCAUAAAGGAUAAGAUUUUUCAUCCUGUUAGACAUUGGAUUGAUAGGUUAUUUGGUCCGUUAUUUGGAAUGCCCAAAAAUACAUGAAGCUCGUGAUCAAAGGUUAAAUAGAAACGAGAAAAAAAUUAUAUCGUGCAUG
RNAcentral lists this long non-coding RNA (491 nucleotides) under Olea europaea subsp. europaea. Lineage: Eukaryota; Viridiplantae; Streptophyta; Magnoliopsida; Lamiales; Oleaceae. The record is from RNAcentral.